CGAGAGGGUGCGAGCGUUGUUCGGAAUUACUGGGCGUAAAGCGCGCGCAGGCGGCUCUUUAAGUCUACCCGUGAAAUGCCGGAGCUCAACUCCGUGCACGCCGGGGGAUACUGGAGGGCUGGAGACGAGUAGAGGCAAGCGGAAUUCCGGGUGUAGCGGUGGAAUGCGUAGAGAUCCGGAAGAACACCGGAGGCGAAGGCGGCUUGCUGGGCUUGGUCUGACGCUGUGGCGCGAAAGCGUGGGGAGCGAACAGGAUUAGAUACCCUGGUAGUCCACGCCGUAAACGAUGGGCACUAGACGCGGGUGGGAUCGACCCCUUCCGUGCCGCAGCUAACGCGCUAAGUGCCCCGCCUGGGGAGUACGGCCGCAAGGCUG
RNAcentral lists this ribosomal RNA (375 nucleotides) under uncultured organism. RNAcentral describes it as "bacterial SSU rRNA". It matches the Rfam family "Bacterial small subunit ribosomal RNA", at positions 525 to 896 of the family's 1533-position model. The record is from RNAcentral.